This 966-nucleotide ribosomal RNA is filed under the name Triticum aestivum (bread wheat). RNAcentral describes it as "partial small subunit ribosomal RNA". Lineage: Eukaryota; Viridiplantae; Streptophyta; Magnoliopsida; Poales; Poaceae. The record is from RNAcentral.
AUGACGCCCACAAGGGAGGAACGACACCAGAGCGCCGCUAUCAUCCGAUCAUCCGAUCUGGGGUUUCCCCGGGAGGUAGCAGUGAGUGGCCUUGAACUUCUCCACGGCGAUGCCUUCAAAAAGGGAACGACGCAGAUAGCGCCGCCACCGCAGGCCUUAGCAGGAGCCGAAGGCAAGUUUUCAUCCAGAUCAGUUCGAAGGGAUCCAACUCUUGUGCCCGGGCCGCCGUCACCACCAGCACCACCAGGCAGACCCUGGAGUACCGGCAUAUCAGCGAGCCGCCGGGCCGCCGCCAUCCCCGCGUCGUCCGGGUCAGAGACGGAGCCACCGACCGCGCACACGGACCGCCGCCGCCUGCACAUGCCGGAGCUCCGCCGAGAGCCCAGCGCCCGCCACCGCUUGUCGAAGCCAACUGCCCGAGCACUUGCGCCACCAUGGAGCCAUCAGAUCAGGGAGGAAGACGCGCGCCUACCACCCUCGCGUACCUCGCCGCACGCCCGAGCGCCGGCGCCACGGCGGAGCCAUCAGAUCGAGAUGAGGAGGAGCCCGCGCGCUUGCCGCCCCGCUCAGACCACGCCGCCGCCAGCGCCGCAGCGCCACCAACCAGGGGAGCCCCGCCCAGAUCCGCCGACGGCCCGACCUGCCGCCGAUCCGAGCGCCGCCGCGAGGGCCGGCCGUCCCGCGCCGCCCAGGAGCCUCGCGAGGGGGGAGGGAGCCCCGCCGCUGCCGACACACGCACGGGCUUUGCACGACGGCGUCCCCUGGCGGCGGCGAGGGAGAAGGAAGGCGAGAAAGGGGAGCGGUGGCGGCAAUCUAGGGUUCCCCCGGGCCGCUCGCGGGAGCGGCACGGGGGACGGGGGACGGCUCCGUCUACUGGAAUUUCUCAUGGUUUUUUCAUAUAUAUGUUGUUCGAUUUAUAUGAUUGCAUUCUUUUUUUUGCAAAGAUUAUAUGAUUGCAUUCUAUAG